AAAGUGGCUGUGAAAAAGAGGUCUGAUUUUGGAAACUCAAGAGAGCAAAACUCAUAGGCUGAGAGGUUUUGCAGUGAAAGAUAUCUGAUGUAGCUUUGGAGCCUUCUUUCUGAGCUUAGUAGGAAAGACGUAUCCCUGCGUUAAAGGGUUUGAGAGCUGCUUUUAGCAGAAUUAAGGUGGUACCGCGAAUGAGUCCCUUCGUCCUUAAA
Molecule: non-coding RNA, 209 nt
Filed under: Acetoanaerobium sticklandii
Lineage: Bacteria; Bacillati; Bacillota; Clostridia; Peptostreptococcales; Filifactoraceae
Description: T-box
Rfam family: T-box leader
About the family: Uncharged tRNA acts as the effector for transcription antitermination of genes in the T-box leader family. T-boxes are found upstream of many aminoacyl-tRNA synthetase genes and some amino acid biosynthetic genes usually in Gram-positive bacteria. The anticodon of a specific tRNA base pairs to a specifier sequence within the T-box motif, and the NCCA acceptor tail of the tRNA base pairs to a conserved bulge in the T-box antiterminator hairpin.
Source: RNAcentral